Long non-coding RNA from Dermochelys coriacea (leatherback sea turtle), 2000 nucleotides. RefSeq lists it as uncharacterized. The transcript has 3 exons. The record is from RefSeq and is a predicted model, not a curated record. Lineage: Eukaryota; Metazoa; Chordata; Testudines; Dermochelyidae.
AUUGAAGACCAGAUAAUGCCCCAGACUCAAGAUUGAAAGCCUUGACUUCAGUGGAAAUAUUUCGGGCAUCAGAUUAUGCUCAGAGAGAGGUUCCUUAGCUUUGGUCAUUGGAACACAAUAAACAGAGGAACCUUCCAGGCCUCACAUGGAUUCAGUACCCAAUAUUUCUCCCCACUGGCAGAAAUCCUGGCACAGAUCACUAGUGGCAGAAAUUCCACUGUGAGGAAAAAAUUGUAUUGGCAAAAAUCAGUUGCAGGCUUCUCCAAGGCAGCGUUUUUCAACAUCCUUUUAAAAAAUGCAGACAUCCAAACCGGACAUGGCAGGGGUGUCUAAUUUUUGGUGCAAACCAAGGAAGGGGGCAUGACCAACCCAGCUGUGGGAUGCAGUUCUCUCGGCAGCCUCCGUCAAGACAAUGCCUUCUCUGGCUGUAAAGUUAAAGCCUCUCAGCCUGCACAGGAAGUAUGCAGAAAGAACAACGGCAUCCUCCUAAGAGGCACGGCAUCUCGCAGGGAUACACGGGUAUAAUUUAUAACUCUCUGUGCCCCUAGUCAAUCUGGCCACAAGUGUUAUAAAAGCUAGAGAUAAAAUAUUUAGAACUUUAAGAUGAUGCCGAAACGUGUCUCUCCAUAUGAUGGAAUGUGGCUCAAGAGAGAGAUUAAAGCUCAUAUUUGUAGUUGUUGGUACUUAAACAAAUAUGUGUUUGGUGUAACAUUACUGAAGGGAUUAAAAUGAAUAUAUUCAUGAAUGUGUAUUUUAGACCCCUUAGUAACCUGGACUGUCUAAUGUUCUCCCCUGGUGCAAACUGUACAAUGUUAUUAAUGUAUGUUAUUAAUAUUCUCAGUCCCUGCUAAUUUCUUCUCAUGGUCCUUUGCCCAAAGAACUUAAAUCUAAUUUUGUAUGUACUGCAAUGCAUUGGCAUAACAAAACAUCAGGGAGGGGACCGAUGGGGUGGGUUAUUACAAUAAGAACAUGUAGCUAAUAAGUUGGGUAGGUCAAAAUCAUCUAUUGAGACUGAUUGUAUAAUCAUGUGGGAAGUGUUUAAAAGCUUCCUGGUUUUGUGCCAUUUUUGUACAGCAGUUAUGAUGACCAGUUUCAUUCUUGACAUUGAGGUUAGUUCUAUAUUUAGGCAUGUAGAUACAGUACUCGAGUAGAUGGGACGAGUCAUAUAUUCUUCAAUGGCAGGCUAUAUUGUGCCUGAUUCCAGGAAUAUAAUAUAAUAUAAUAUAUAUGUUGUCAUCCCCAAAUACAUCUCAGUGAAGCAUGAUGAUAAAUCUUUUAAAUGAAGAAGGCUCAAGCCACCUCUUAUCUUCAUUUAGUUGCAUUUUUCUUGGACAUGUUUGGUCCUUUUUACCUUUCCCUAGGAAGUUUUAUACAUAUGAUCUAUCUUCGUUUUUUCCCCCGAUGUUAAGUGGAAAAAGAAUUGGCAGCACUUUAAAAGGACAUAGCAGGAGUGAGUGUAAGGGAGUAUACAUCAUUAAUAGAUUAAUCCUAUCCCACAGCAUAGAUAUCUUUCCAACUGCGUGUACUUCCUCAUCUAAGUACCAAAAAGUCUGUUGGGGAAGAGUUUCAUCUGAAAGUCAUCAGGUAGCUUCUCUUUUAUUUAUAUUGCCAGUGGGUUGCUGGGAUAUUUUGCAGUUUCAUUUAAGAGCUAAGUGCACCCGCGGUUGUUUGUAAAGAAUCUGAUGGAUAGGUCUGUGUUAGAUGAAAAAAAUAAUGGCCAAAAAUUAAUCUGCAAAGAGGGGAGAUUUUGAUCCAUGUGGACUGAUUGUAAUCCCAAAUUGGCACAAAACCAAAGGACAACAGAUUCAUUCAAAAAUGAAUGGCAUUAAACAAUAGGGACAGAGACAGCCCUAUCUGCUAUUCCUAUUUAAAUCAAAUAAUUUGGUAUCUUGGCUAAGGGUCAGAUUGUGAUACCCUUACUCUGUUUGAAUAGUACCUUGCAUCAAGAGUGGUCUCAUAAAAGUCAAUGGUACUGUUUGCGUAUUAAGGAGUUACUGUGA